Molecule: long non-coding RNA, 1129 nt
Filed under: Anas platyrhynchos platyrhynchos (common mallard)
Lineage: Eukaryota; Metazoa; Chordata; Aves; Anseriformes; Anatidae
Description: lncRNA (ENSAPLG00000030173.1)
Source: RNAcentral
CAAAAUGACAGCAGCAUGCAGAUGCCUGGAGUGGAAUUCAGAGAGAACUACUUGACAAAAAUACAUCUGGUUUUCACCGAGCUGUGGACAUGCAUACUUCACUGUAGUUUCUUUGGUGUGAAGAGCUGACCAUCAUAAAGAGACAGAAGAUAAAUAGGAACAGAAAGCUGAGAAGCCAGGAAGGGAACUGUAGGGGCAGAAGUCCCAAGAGAAUGCUCCUAGAAGCCCUUCUGCCCAUUGCAGGCCUUGGGCUGAGGCUGGAGAAGUUGACUUCCACCAAGUGAUCUCCAGUAUGUAGAGGGAAGGAGGAUUUUUUGUCCAUCCCUCACGAUUCCCUGUGUGAAACAAGCUGUCACUGAUGUAUUUUCCUCAGAAAUCCUGAGCAAACAAUUUGGAAUAAUGUCCAAAGAAUGCUUUACAUUACAAAAUAAUGUAAAAUAAGUGUGAUGAGGAGGCUGGAAACCAAGCUACAUAAAGAUCAGAAAUUCAUUUUUGCAUCCUGAUCCUGACUGUGUUUCUGCAAUAUAUCAGAUCAUCUUGCUGGUGUCCUGCAGAUCCUAGUGUGCAUUGAACUAACUUUCCUCUCAAGACAUAGUCUUAUUUUCUUCAACUCUGUGAGAUGUGACAAGAUACCCAGGAGGAGGAGUUCAGCUGAACAUUUUGUUUUCCUACUCUUGUAUUUGUUUGCAUUUGUUCUUAGCUCCUGAACAGUUCCUCCUGGAAAGACUUACAAGUAUUGGAACAAAAUUCCUAAAUGAAUGGAACUGUUGCCUUGUAAGAGAAGCUUUUGGUCAAGUCUAAAUAACAAGACAUAAAGAUAUAUUAACUUAAUUUAAAGCCAUAACAAGGUCCUAAAAUAUAGCAAUGGUAACAGUUUUGUUCCAUUUUGGGACUUCUAACCUGAAACCUUUGGAAGAAACUUGAUGGGCUAGGAUCUCUUAUAAAAUGUAUGUAGUGAGAAGCUUAAGAAUGAAAAUGUUUUAAAGCCUCUCAUUAUUUAGAAAGGCUUGAACUAUAGCUUUAAAUUAUUCAUGAACUAUGUGCUGGAUAACUGAGAAGUAAAGGUAUUACCUUAUCUAUGUCUUAUUCAACAUUUGUCUUCUCUGUUUAGAGGUAAGGACAAACAACA